CUGGUCUCAUGUUUUGCAUGAGUAACCCUAAAUUUGUCUAUGUACAUGUUUAAACCUUUUCACAAGAUCUUUCUCUUACGCUUUUCUCACUUGGAACCUUAUCUUUUCUUCCUUUUCUUUUCCCACCUCCUUCUAAUUCUUCGGAUGCAUGCUCCCAAACCGCGCGUAUAUUUGUGCGCAGGUGAUGGUGAUUUGUCAAGUGCGGAAAGAUAGGAAAGACAUGGAAAACUCUUGGAGAUGAUUUUUUCUUUUUUUUCUGAAAACAUGGGUGGGGAAUAAAUAUGGGGCAUUCUUGAGAUGCUCUAGUAUCACAAAAUCGUCUAAUUUAUAAGAGCACAAGUAAAGUGGUUGGAUGUGUUCGUUUCACUAAAAUAUAUUUUAUGUUGAUGCUUAUGUUGAUUUCUUGUGAGAGAAAAACACUAUUCAUUUGCUAAAAAUAUUGUUGAAGAAUAGGGAUUAUCAAGAACAGUCGCUCGCUCGCUCACACUUGAGCCUAGAUGAAUUGGGUAGUUUGUCAAGUGUCACGAACGUGGAACAUAGUCCUAGGGUACCUUAAGGAAGGAAGAAGAUCUAGUCUAAUUAGGAUUUUUCAAAUGUAAUCCUAGUAGAACUAAUACCUUGUAAUCCUACUAGGACUCAUAUACUGUGUCACAGAACCGAUCAAAUUAUAAGAGUUCAAGUGUAGAAAUGAUCGUCAGAGCAAUCAAGUUUCAAAACUUGAGCCCACAUAAUCCUCGUAGUCAACUGAAAUCUCGAAGGAUUUCAAACCAACUCGGCAACAAACUAAGAUCGUAAUAAGUUCAGCACAAUACAUCGAUUGUUAUAGCAUUUCAUACAAGGUCGACGAAGUGACACACAUGAGAGUUUACUUAAGUUAUUACAAACCAAG
This 889-nucleotide long non-coding RNA is filed under the name Sorghum bicolor (sorghum). RNAcentral's name for it is "long non-coding RNA (SBIC_LNC014331)". The record is from RNAcentral. Lineage: Eukaryota; Viridiplantae; Streptophyta; Magnoliopsida; Poales; Poaceae.